CGGCGCGCCUAACACAUGCAAGUCGAACGGGAAUGUUGAAGCUUGCUUCAACAUUCUAGUGGCGGACGGGUGAGUAACACGUGAGCAACCUGCCGGGGAGUGGGGAAUAACGUUGGGAAACCAACGCUAAUACCGCAUAACAUCAUCGGAUGGCAUCAUCUGGUGAUCAAAGGAGAAAUCCGCUUUCUGAUGGGCUCGCGCCCGAUUAGGUAGUUGGUGGGGUAAAGGCCUACCAAGCCCGCGAUCGGUAGCCGGACUGAGAGGUUGAUCGGCCACAUUGGGACUGAGACACGGCCCAGACUCCUACGGGAGGCAGCAGUGGGGGAUAUUGCACAAUGGGGGAAACCCUGAUGCAGCGACGCCGCGUGAGUGAAGACGGCCUUCGGGUUGUAAAGCUCUGCUAACGGGGACGAAAUUUGACGGUACCCGUUAAGAAAGCCACGGCUAACUACGUGCCAGCCGCCGCAGUAAAAC
RNAcentral lists this ribosomal RNA (474 nucleotides) under uncultured bacterium. Its description in RNAcentral is "bacterial SSU rRNA". It matches the Rfam family "Bacterial small subunit ribosomal RNA", at positions 40 to 526 of the family's 1533-position model. The record is from RNAcentral.